Molecule: ribosomal RNA, 2048 nt
Filed under: Oenococcus oeni
Lineage: Bacteria; Bacillati; Bacillota; Bacilli; Lactobacillales; Lactobacillaceae
Description: bacterial LSU rRNA
Rfam family: Bacterial large subunit ribosomal RNA
Source: RNAcentral
AGGUUAAGUUAAUAAGGGCGCAUGGUGGAUGCCUUGGCACUAGAAGGCGAUGAAGGACGUGACUAACUACGAUAUGCCUCGGUUAGCUGUAAGUAAGCUUACCCGGGGGUUUCCGAAUGGGGCAACCCGAUCUUAAUGAUCAUCAUCUUUUUGAAUUCAUAGAUUAGAUGAAGCAAACGCUGUGAACUGAAACAUCUAAGUAGCAGUAGGAAAGUAAAGAAAUUUCGAUUCCGUCAGUAGCGGCGAGCGAACGCGGAAGAGCCCAAACCUGGAUGCUUGCAUCCAGGGGUUGUAGGACUGAUGUUGAGUUACAAAGGUAUAAGAUAGCAGAAACAGUUGGGAAGCUGUUCCAAAGAGGGUGACAGGCCCGUAUGCGAAAUCUUGUACUCUCUAAUCAGGAUCCUGAGUACGGCCCAGCACGUGAAAUUGGGUCGGAAUCUGGGAGGACCAUCUCCCAAGGCUAAAUACUAACUAGUGACCGAUAGCGAACAAGUACCGUGAGGGAAAGGUGAAAAGAACCCCGGAAGGGGAGUGAAAUAGUUCUUGAAACCGUGUGCUUACAAGAAGUUCGAGGCCGUUAAUGGCUGAGAGCGUGCUUUUUGUAGAAUGAACCGGAGAGUUACGAUUGCGUGCAAGGUUAAGGUGCAAAGACUGGAGCCGUAGCGAAAGCGAGUCUUAAUAGGGCGAAUCAGUACGUAGUUGUAGACCCGAAACCGAGUGACCUAUCCAUGGUCAGGUUGAAGGUGGGGUAAUACCUACUGGAGGACCGAACAAGUGGGUGUUAAAAAACCCUUUGAUGAACUGUGGAUAGCGGUGAAAUUCCAAUCGAACUCGGAGAUAGCUGGUUCUAUCCGAAAUACAUUUAGGUGUAGCCUUGCAAUUAGCUUACUGGAGGUAGAGCACUAUUUGGUCUAGGGGCCCUUCAAGGGUUACCAAAAUCAGAUAAACUCCGAAUGCCAGCUAAGUAUGUGCAGGAGUCAGACGGUGAGUGAUAAGAUCCAUCGUCAAAAGGGGAACAGCCCAGAUCACCAGUUAAGGUCCCUAAAUAUAUGCUAAGUGGAAAACGUUGUGAAGGUGCAUAGACAACUAGGAGGUUGGCUCAGAAGCAGCCACCCUUUAAAGAGUGCGUAAUAGCUCACUAGUCGAGUGCUCUUGCGCGGAUAAUGUACCGGGGCUAAGCAUAUUACCGAAACUGUGGAUGCGUAAGCAUGGUAGGAUAGCGUAAUUAACGCGAUGAAGGAUGACCGUAAGGACAUGUUGGAGCGUUAACUAGUGAGAAUUCCGGUAUGAGUAGCGAAAGAUAGGUGAGAAUCCUAUCCACCGAAUGAGUAAGGUUUCCCCCGGAAGGCUCGUCCGCGGGGGGUUAGUCGGGACCUAAGGCGAGGCUGAAAAGCGUAGUCGAUGGACAACAGGUUGAUAUUCCUGUACCGAUAUUUAAUUGCCGAAGGAAGGACGCAGAAGGAUAACACAGGCCACUAUUGGAUGUGGUUUUAAACAGUUAGUCUUCAUAAGAGUCAAAUGCUUUUAUGUUUAAGGAUAAGCUGUGAAUGUACCAAGUUUACUUGGAAAUUGUGUGAUUUCACGCUGCUGAAAAAAGUUUCGUAGGAAGAAAAUAUUGCCCGUACCGCAAACCGACACAGGUACUCAAGUGGAGAACACUAAGGUGAGCGAGUGAACUAUUGUUAAGGAACUCUGCAAAAUGAGUCCGUAACUUCGGAAGAAGGACUGCUGGUUUUAUACCAGCCGCAGCAAAUAGGCCCAAACAACUGUUUAUCAAAAACACAGGUUUCUGCAAAAUCGUAAGAUGAAGUAUAGGGGCUGACGCCUGCCCAGUGCUGGAAGGUUAAAAGGAGGACUUAGCUUCGGCGAAGGUCUUAAUUGAAGCCCCAGUGAACGGCGGCCGUAACUAUAACGGUCCUAAGGUAGCGAAAUUCCUUGUCGGGUAAGUUCCGACCCGCAUGAAAGGCGUAAUGAUUUGGGCGCUGUCUCAACAAUAGACUCGGUGAAAUUUAAAUUCCAGUGAAGAUGCUGGGUACCCGCGACAGGAC